CUGAGCUUGCACUCUGAAUCCUUUUCUCCAUGUUCUCAAUGAAUGGAAGGUUCUGUACUGCCAUUAUACAACAGAGUAAGAAUAGAGUGCAAAACUAAAAAGAAUUAAUUCUUACUAAUAAUGAUUAAUGAAAGUCAAGCAACUACAGAUACGUUUUGCGUGAGAAAUAAAGUGACGAGACCAGGACAAGAAGUAGCCACAAAUAUCUUCAUCCAAAUUAUUAGGUAACUUAUCAAAUAGGGGGAUGUGAUAAUAUUAUUAGCUAGGUGAAGUGUAAACAAGAGGAGAACUGCAGAAAAUGAAACUCUGAAUUUGACCCUCCAACUUUGUUUUGAUCGUCCUCUCAAUAUUAAGAACAAAUAAAAGUACUUUGUGAAAUCAAAUAGACAUGGAUUGGAACCAUCAAAACUAUCACGCAUACUUACAUGUGGAGAUUUUUUGGAGGAAGUACAAAUUAUAUAGACCAGUUUCCUAGAUUGACAACACAUAUGGACCAUAGAAUUAGCAGCACGCCUAACUACCAAACAACGACUCUUUAUUCAAAACAGCUUAUGUAGAAGAUGGCCUACUUUUUCCUCUAUAAACACACAUUAUGCAACGUGUAUGUGACCCACAAACCAAGGAAAACCUCAUCAAACCUAAAUUACAAGGAAUAGUGAUAGUAUUGUAUAGUAAAACACGAAAAACCUUCGCUCUAUACCAGUUGGGAGCAAAGUGUUGUCCUCAGCUCGAGAAAAUAUAAGGCAAGAACUUAUCAAACUUCAGUUACAAAUAUUAAAAAAUUUAAGACAGAUAUUUGAAAUUUCUUUAAGGCAAAAACCUAUUAAAUCGAACGAAACUGGUUUUGUUUGAAAGAAGACUGAAAAUUAUAUUUGAAAAUACCCUUGUCAGACUUGCUUACAAACAUUGAUUAAACAAUUUUAUCAUAAAAGAAUUAACAACUAACCUUGAUAGUGAUGAAACUCGAGGCACAUCUUCGGCCAAAUUACAAAUCCUUGCCCAAUCUGUCCCAAAGUCGUACACCAUUCAUCAUGAGAGCAUGACAACAAAGCAUGCGUUAUAAAUGUACACUCAAUGUAAACUAAGAAAUUUCCUUCUCCUAGGCAUCUUGCACCCCACUUGGAGUUUGGGUUAACAUCUUUCACCCUUCCCUUUGCGACGACUUGGAAAGGACAACCACCAAACAAACUAACCUCCUGAAACAAUAUUAUGGUAGUUUGUUUACAAAACAAUCAUAGUCCAUCAAAAAAAUUAGACUACUUCAAGAGGGAAAAAGAGUAAGCAAUGGAUAAAUCUACAAGCAAAAUAUAAAGUAAAUGGUAUAAUGAUUGUUCACAUAACCGGCAGAAAAGUUCACAAGCAACCAGGAAAAAACUUAGAAGGUCAAAUGAUUGUAAUAACAGUUUAUUCACUACAAUAGGAUGUGUUAUAAAAGAAGUAAACACACUACCACAAUAUUUCUCGAGUUAGCAAUGUCCUAUAAUAGUUAUAAUUUUAAAAGACACAAGACACAUUACAACAAAUUUAUAGAAUUGGAUGAAAUUGACUAUUUACAGAAACAAAAGCAAGUUAUAAAGUCACUGACAUAUGUGCCACUAACAUACAAGCAGUAGUAAAGUCUAUGUCUGUAACUUUGUGUGAUGGUAAGAAUGUAAGAUAGACAAAGGAAUACUAACAACUUUAUUUAUUUCACAAAUAAUCAAAAUCCUAAACAAAGUUUUGAAAAGGAAAGAUGAUAUCUACUGGCAUGUAUCUGGUUGAAUAUGUAAUUAACUUCCACUUGCAUUUGUGAACUUGAACCAACAGGUAUGGGAGGUCUCCCACCUGAUCCUGUUUGAACUGCACGGUUGAGUUGCACUAUUUGAGCUUGAGGCCAUCAAACUUCCCAUCUACUUGUUGUUUCCAUUCAGCAAUCGCCUGUGCCUCUUUUUCAUACCUCUUUAGCAGUGGAGUUAUGGCCUUUAGAGAAGUUUUGCUGACAUCUGCACCCAUCGCUUUCAUGCAACCCCUACUAUCUUUAAGCAGUAAGGUUGGCCAUGAACAACAGUAUAAGACCAAUUGUUGCAGUUAAAGGAUCAAAAGACUCACUUAGGAACAAUUGUAGGCUGUCAAUGCUAAUAUUGACACAUCUGGAAGACGGUUCCUUGGCGACAAAAAAUUCUGGUAACUAGACCUGCACCAUACAGAAAGAUUAUAAAAGAUGAGGCUUAAGCAAAAACACUUUGGGGAAAAAACAAUAAGCUUCAUUGCAGAUAUUGGCGAUUUCGAAGGCUAAAAUGUGUAGAUUAACUUCAACUCAACCUACCAUAAUUUCAUCAAGCACCAACUCUGACCAAAUCACAACUGUGCAUUUAACAACUGUGUUUUGAAUAAAAUUGUGACUAGAAAAAGAGGUAUUUAUGAGGCAAAUGCACAAUAUUUGGAAUUAGGAUCCAUAUUUUAAGAACAUUUGUUGAUCAUUGAACCUAACCAUAUCAAAUCACAUGUAUAAUGACCAUUAAACCUAAUAAUCUCAAUCACAUUUAUAAGUCAAUAAACUACAAUCAGUGAAAUUCGAUCAACAAAAAUUUACAUAAACAAUAGAGAUUGAUAAAACCUUUGAUUUAGAACCCCAAGUCAUAAACAAUCAUAAACAAUUGAGAGAAGAAUGAAGCUGGAAAUCAAUUGAAAAUCAUAAACAAUCGUUCAAUUCGAAAUACCUUAAGGAGAGAAAGUGCGAAGCAAAACUAAAAACUUCAAUUUCUUCUGAAGAGAACUUCGCCUCUCUCUUGAGAUUUGAACUUUGAAGAUAACUUUUUCUCUUGUGAUCGAUGUGGAAGGUUGAUGAGGAAGAAGGGAUUGGAGAUUGGGAGAUCGAUGGUGAAGAAGAGAAUGUAAGAAGAGAUUGGAGAUUGAGAGAUCGAGAGAUCAAUGUUUUUCUUCUCGAUCUCUUGAGAUUGAGAUCGAGAGAU
RNAcentral lists this long non-coding RNA (2951 nucleotides) under Aquilegia coerulea. RNAcentral describes it as "long non-coding RNA (ACOE_LNC001401)". Lineage: Eukaryota; Viridiplantae; Streptophyta; Magnoliopsida; Ranunculales; Ranunculaceae. The record is from RNAcentral.